AGGCCCAGCACAGCACGAAGA
Molecule: unclassified non-coding RNA, 21 nt
Filed under: Mus musculus (house mouse)
Lineage: Eukaryota; Metazoa; Chordata; Mammalia; Rodentia; Muridae
Description: oocyte_clustered_small_RNA134
Source: RNAcentral